ACGGCGAGUGAAGCGGCAACAGCUCAAAUUUGAAAUCUGGCCUUUGGCCCGAGUUGUAAUUUGUAGAGGAUGCUUUUGGUGCGGUGCCUUCCGAGUUCCCUGGAACGGGACGCCUUAGAGGGUGAGAGCCCCGUACGGUUGGACGCCUAGCCUCUGUAAAGCUCCUUCGACGAGUCGAGUAGUUUGGGAAUGCUGCUCAAAAUGGGAGGUAAAUUUCUUCUAAAGCUAAAUACCGGCCAGAGACCGAUAGCGCACAAGUAGAGUGAUCGAAAGAUGAAAAGCACUUUGAAAAGAGGGUUAAAUAGCACGUGAAAUUGUUGAAAGGGAAGCGUUUAUGACCAGACUUUUUCCUGGCGGAUCAUCCGGUGUUCUCACCGGUGCACUUCGCCAGGUCGAGGCCAGCAUCGGUUUCUGUAGGGGGAUAAAAGCUUUGGGAAUGUGGCUCUUCGGAGUGUUAUAGCCCAUUGUAUAAUACCCUUCUGGGGACCGAGGUACGCGCAUUGCAAGGAUGCUGGCGUAAUGGUCAUCAACGACCCGUCUUGAAACACGGACCAAGGAGUCGAACAUUUGUGCGAGUGUUUGGGUGUUAAACCCUCACGCGUAAUGAAAGUGAACGGAGGUGAGAGCCAUUUGGUGCAUCAUCGACCGAUCCUGAUGUCUUCGGAUGGAUUUGAGUAAGAGCAUAACUGUUCGGACCCGAAAGAUGGUGAACUAUGCGUGGAUAGGGUGAAGCCAGAGGAAACUCUGGUGGAGGCUCGCAGCGGUUCUGACGUGCAAAUCGAUCGUCAAAUCUGCGCAUGGGGGCGAAAGACUAAUCG
Molecule: ribosomal RNA, 818 nt
Filed under: Dactylaria acaciae
Lineage: Eukaryota; Fungi; Ascomycota; Leotiomycetes; Helotiales
Description: eukaryotic LSU rRNA
Rfam family: Eukaryotic large subunit ribosomal RNA
Source: RNAcentral